UAUAUUUGCAACUUGAAAGAAAAUCUUUCAUUGUACAUAACAAUCAUUUACAAUAAUAUUAGCAUG
Molecule: non-coding RNA, 66 nt
Filed under: unclassified sequences
Description: S15-Flavobacteria ribosomal protein leader
Rfam family: S15-Flavobacteria ribosomal protein leader
Source: RNAcentral